Molecule: transfer RNA, 74 nt
Filed under: Verrucomicrobiota bacterium
Lineage: Bacteria; Pseudomonadati; Verrucomicrobiota
Also listed under: 3 other names
Description: Verrucomicrobia bacterium (wastewater metagenome) tRNA-Gly
Rfam family: tRNA
About the family: Transfer RNA (tRNA) molecules are approximately 80 nucleotides in length. Their secondary structure includes four short double-helical elements and three loops (D, anti-codon, and T loops).
Source: RNAcentral
GCGGGUGUGGUUCAAUGGUAGAAUGCGGGCUUCCCAAGCCUGAGGCGAGGGUUCGAUUCCCUUCACCCGCUCCA